GGGAGCGAAGCUCAGAUGGUAGAGCGCUAACUUAGCAUGCUAGAGUUACGGGGAUCGAUACUUCGUGCCUUCA
Non-coding RNA from Trichonephila clavipes, 73 nucleotides. The record is from the annotation of a GenBank genome assembly. Lineage: Eukaryota; Metazoa; Arthropoda; Arachnida; Araneae; Nephilidae.